CAGUCGCCACGGUAAUACAGAGGUCUCAAGCGUUGUUCGGAUUCAUUGGGCGUAAAGGGUGCGUAGGUGGCGGUGUUAGUCUAACGUGAAAUCUCGGGGCUCAACCUCGAAAUUGCGUCGGAUACUGCAUUGCUAGAGGAUUGUAGAGGAGAGUGGAAUUCAUGGUGUAGCAGUGAAAUGCGUAGAUAUCAUGAGGAAGACCAGUUGCGAAGGCGACUCUCUGGGCAAUUCCUGACACUGAGGCACGAAGGCUAGGGGAGCAAACGGGAUUAGAUACCCCCGUAGUCCCUGUCUCUUAUAA
This 301-nucleotide ribosomal RNA is filed under the name uncultured bacterium. RNAcentral's name for it is "partial 16S ribosomal RNA". It matches the Rfam family "Bacterial small subunit ribosomal RNA", at positions 509 to 809 of the family's 1533-position model. The record is from RNAcentral.